Long non-coding RNA from Populus euphratica (Euphrates poplar), 2932 nucleotides. RefSeq lists it as uncharacterized. The record is from RefSeq and is a predicted model, not a curated record. NCBI's taxonomy places the organism in Eukaryota, Viridiplantae, Streptophyta, Magnoliopsida, Malpighiales, Salicaceae. The transcript is spliced from 6 exons.
CAUCUCCUGCUCUAUUGUCAAUCAUCUUCAAGUCUCUUUGGGGUUCAAGUUGGCAAGCUUCCAGUAAGGUGGUUAAAGCCAUUGACAGAAAUGUAAUGCUUUUUUGUGGAAAGAUAAAGGGUAGCAAUAUUUGGAGCUUGAAAUUUCCUACAAAUUUUUCUUGGAAGUGGAGAAAACUUCUCAAGCUAAGAAGCGUUGCUUGGGUAUUGAAUCUAUUGAUUGAGGUGGUUAAUGGUAAUGGCAAAAAUACUCACUUGUGGUGGGACUGCUGGCUGUCUAAUGGCCCUUUAAUUAAGACACACGGCUCCAGAAUUGCUAUAAGUCUGGGCUCUCUGCUGAUGCUUAAGUAGCUGAUGCUAUCCGUCAUAGUGCUUGGUGUUGGCCUAAUGCAAGGCCAGAGGAUAUGGAUGAGGUCCAGUGCGCUUACAGUUUAAUAGUUCCUUCUGAAGCUGAGGAUCAGUUUAUUUGGAGGUUCACCCCAGAUGGGGUUUGCUUUUCCAGUAGCACCACGGAGUUCUCGUGGGAAAAGGGUAUUAAAAUUCAGUGGCGUAAACUAGUUUGGAGACCCCUUCUAUUCUAGCAUCCAGCAAAAUUUAGCAUCAUUCAAGCAGAGAAUUUUAUUUAUAGAUAAACGAAUCCAAGAGCUAGAGACAGAAAAGAAAGUUGCUGCUGAAGCGAGAAACUUCAAGGAAGCUGUACGAAUAGCUGCUGAGACAAAGUCAUUGAGUGUUGAAAUUGUUUGCAGAUUGACUUGGAAAAGGCCACAUUAGAGCUUCAAAAGCUUGAGGAAGAUAUUAAAGACACUGUUAACAGAUUGCAAACUACCGAGGGACUGAUACUAUCCAAGGAAAAGGAGGCUGCAAUGACUAGAUUCCGAAGGCUGCUUUUAAUUGCUGGUGCUGCCACAGCUGAAAGAUUUGCUGCUUUAGAGCCGGGGGGACAUUGAAGAAACUAACCUCCUACUUGCAGAGGCUGAGGCAGCUAAUGAAGCAAAAAAACAUCAACUUGUAUGCAUUUUUAAAGAGGAAGGCUUUUCAAUAACCAAACAUUUCAUCUCCAUGGAACUCGUAUCAAUCUUGGCAGGAAGCAGCUAGCACAAUUGGCAGCACUCCUUCAUUUCCAGAAUCACGAUGACUAGAACCAGAGUGAAGUAUUUGAAGAUGACCAAACCAAGAGUUAUUGGAGAACCAAUUAAAAAAAAACUAAAACUGCUCAGUGAAUUACUGUAGAUUAUGUUUAAAAUCACUUUGAAUUACUGUUUAAAUUUUUAAUUCGUUCUCACGAUAAGUUUUGGCCAGUUUUUUUUGCUGUUUUUUCAUUUGUUUUGUUGGGUAUGUGGCAGCCUCGCUAACAUAUAUCUUCCUAUCUUUUUUUGAUAGGUUACAUCUUUCCCAUCUCUAUCUUUUUUCUGGCUCAAUCGCACCAGAGAACGCCUCACAAACAAGCCAAAGAACACGUUCACAAUUCCAGAUCCACCUUGCAAACACCACCAUGCAGCCAUUCCAUCUCCCUACCCAGAACUAUCAAUGUUUUGUUUUGCUUCUCGGUGGUCUUCUAGUGCGAUAUGAUGCUGCCUAGUGAUCUGCAUAAGUGUUCCUUUGUUGGCGCAGGGUGAGGGUUUCUUUGUUGUGCAGCUCAAUUGUGGGUGUUUUGGUGGGUCUGUGUGCGGCUUCAACAUCUUUGUGCACCGAUGGUUCUUCCCAUGAGAAAGAGUGUCUGCAUAAGUUGAGCUGGUUGAAGAAGUAAUUAAUAUCUUUUAUUGUUGAAGAAGGAAUUAAUAUCUCUUAUGGUAUGUAAAAAUCCUUUUUUUAUUAUUUUUUGCCUGUAAAAAAUUAUAAACCUUUUUAUUUUAAUAUUUAAUUGGAUAAUUUGUCUUGAUUUUAUAGAUAUAUUUAGAAUUGUUGCACUAUAUAAUGGAUUGUUGCAUUGUGUUUUUGGUUAUAGAAAUGGUUAUAUUGGAAAGGAAUCCCUUUUAGGGGGAUUUAAAAAGGUUUGUGGUGUACUUACAAUUAUAAAAUUAUAAAAUCAAGUUUUUGUUUUUACCGUGUCAAAUUAUGAUGGCCUGGACUUAUCUCAUGAUAUUAUAUAGAAGCUAAAAGCAUUACAGGAGGCCAGUUGAGAGAGUGAUUAGUCUAUUGACAAAGAUACUCUAAUAUAAUUAGAGAGUGGUGCUUCAAUAAGACUUUUUUAGUGUUAACAAGGCUCCAUUGGAGAAAGUUAUAAUAUUUUCUCAAUUUCUUUAGCAUAUAUAUGUGAUUGAACAAGUAGUUAUUAAUUGUAUUAUGAGUUUUUAAUAAGUGUAGCUUUAUCUUUCCUCAGGUGUAAUGAUCCUGGAUUUCUUUUCUUUGGCCAAUUAGCAUUUGCUGGUAUCAAAUUUAUUCAAAAGCAUAAUCAUUGAAGUUAGUUAUUCUUUAUUUCAUUCAUAUAUUUCUUCUGUUAUUCCCUUUGCUUUUACGUGAUACAUUAUUGGGCUAAUCAUGUGAAAUCACUGGUCACCUUCCAGCAUGAUGCUUCACGUAUGACUUUAUUAAUGGAUGGCAAUGUUGCUUGGGUCUUGAUUUGAGCUUUUAACUCAUGUAAUCUUAAUGAAGCAAAUUUGGGAUAAAAUGAUCAUUGAUCAUCCAACCUUUUCAGUGUUUUGGUAGUGUCGUGUGUAACUAUACACUGUUUCUUAAUAAACACUUUUGUUAUGAUCUUACCUUUCUCUGUUGCAGAAUAGUUUGCAAUUUUUUUUUUCACACAAUGGAGGUUUUAGAGUUUUGAGUUUUUGGAUGGACUGUUGCAAAAGCUGUUUUCUUCUAUCAAUCUUUUGUGUGCCAACUUCUCAAAUCUUAAGGAAGCUGUAGGGUUUCUUUCUCGCAUCGCAAAUGACAAUUUUGGGCUUUGUUGGUCAAAUGAUAGAUAAUGAAGUUUCAUUCUAUGCUUGCUUUUA